RNAcentral lists this ribosomal RNA (475 nucleotides) under uncultured bacterium. RNAcentral describes it as "bacterial SSU rRNA". It matches the Rfam family "Bacterial small subunit ribosomal RNA", at positions 8 to 526 of the family's 1533-position model. The record is from RNAcentral.
AGAGUUUGAUCCUGGCUCAAAGCGAACGCUGGCGGCAUGCUUAACACAUGCAAGUCGCGCGGCCGGGCAACCGGCAGCGGCGGACGGGUGAGUAACGCGUAGGAACGUAUCCUGAGGUGGGGGACACCCCUGGGAAACUGGGGCUAAUACCGCCCAUCUGCUGCGGCAGAAAGCCGUAAGGCGCCUUGGGAGCGGCCUGCGUCCGAUUAGCUAGUUGGUGGGGUAACGGCCUACCAAGGCAUCGAUCGGUAGCUGGUCUGAGAGGACGACCAGCCACACUGGGACUGAGACGCGGCCCAGACGCCUACGGGAGGCAGCAGUGAGGAAUAUUGGUCAAUGGGGGCAACCCUGAACCAGCGACGCCGCGAGGGCGAUGAAAGUGUUCGGAGCGUAAAGCCCUUUUCCUGGUGACGAGUAAGGACGGUAACCAGGGAAUAAGUGUCUGCUAACUACGUGCCAGCAGCCGCGGUAAUAC